GUGAGGAAUAUUGCGCAAUGGAGGCAACUCUGACGCAGCCAUGCCGCGUGAAGGAAGAAUGCCUUAUGGGUUGUAAACUUCUUUUAUACGAGAAUAAACCCCCCUACGUGUAGGGGGCUGAAGGUAUCGUACGAAUAAGGACCGGCUAACUCCGUGCCAGCAGCCGCGGUAAUACGGAGGGUCCAAGCGUUAUCCGGAUUCAUUGGGUUUAAAGGGUGCGUAGGCGGCUUAAUAAGUCAGUGGUGAAAGACUGUGGCUCAACCAUAGAAUUGCCAUUGAAACUGUUAGGCUUGAAUCUAGUUGAAGUGGGCGGAAUACAUCAUGUAGCGGUGAAAUGCAUAGAUAUGAUGUGGAACGCCGAUUGCGAAGGCAGCUCACUAAGUUAGUAUUGACGCUGAGGCACGAAAGCGUGGGUAGCGAACAGG
Molecule: ribosomal RNA, 425 nt
Filed under: uncultured bacterium
Lineage: Bacteria
Description: bacterial SSU rRNA
Rfam family: Bacterial small subunit ribosomal RNA
Source: RNAcentral